Molecule: ribosomal RNA, 497 nt
Filed under: uncultured bacterium
Lineage: Bacteria
Description: partial 16S ribosomal RNA
Rfam family: Bacterial small subunit ribosomal RNA
Source: RNAcentral
GAUGAACGCUGGCGGCGUGCCUAAUACAUGCAAGUCGAGCGAACGGACGAUAAUCUUGCUUCUCUGAUGUUAGCGGCUGACGGGUGAGUAACACGUGGAUAACCUACCUAUAAUACUUGGAUAACUUCGGGAAACCGUAUCUAAUACCGUAUAAUAUUUUGAUCCGCAUGUUUCUAUAGUUUAUGUCGGUUUUUCUUUCUCUUUUAGAUGUAUCCGCGCUGCAUUAGCUAGUUGGUAAGGUAACGGCUUACCAAGGCAACGAUGCAUAGCCGACAUGAGAGGGUGAUCGGCCACACGGGAAGUGAGACACGGAACAGAGAACGACGGGAGGCAGCAGUAGGGAAUAGGACGCAAUGGGCGAAAGCAUGACGGAGCAAAGCAGAGGGAGUGAUGAAGGACUGAGGAUCGUAAAACGAGGUUAUUAGGGAAGAAAAUAAGUGUAAGAAAAAGAGAAAAGAAUGACGGUAACAAAAAAGAAAGCAACGGCUAACUACGUG